Molecule: long non-coding RNA, 601 nt
Filed under: Nicotiana benthamiana
Lineage: Eukaryota; Viridiplantae; Streptophyta; Magnoliopsida; Solanales; Solanaceae
Description: long non-coding RNA (NBEN_LNC012820)
Source: RNAcentral
GGAUAGCAGCAAGAUCUGGAGCUUGGCUCUUUCUCUGGGAAUGAUAACUGUUGACAGUGUGUUCAAGAACUUUUGACAAUGUUUUACUGUUGAAGAGGAGCGUUGGAGCAAUGGUAAAGUUGUCUCUGUGUGACCUAUAGGGCACGAGUUUGAGCCGUGGAAGAAGUCACUAAUGCUUGCGUUAGGGUAGGCUGCCUACAUCACACCCCUAGGAUGCGGCCCUUCCCCAAAUCCUGUGUGAAUGCGGGAUACUUUGUGCACCAAGCUAUACAAUGGAUGUACUUUGACAGUGUGUUCAAGAACUUUUGACAAUGUUUUACUGUUGAAGAGGAGCGUUGGAGCAAUGGUAAAGUUGUCUCUGUGUGACCUAUAGGGCACGAGUUUGAGCCGUGGAAGAAGUCACUAAUGCUUGCGUUAGGGUAGGCUGCCUACAUCACACCCCUAGGAUGCGGCCCUUCCCCAAAUCCUGUGUGAAUGCGGGAUACUUUGUGCACCAAGCUAUACAAUGGAUGUACUUUGACAUGAAAGACUGUAUUCCAUUCUUUUACAACUCUAUUCUAAGUACAAAAAUCAGGAAUGAAAUAAGAAAUCUCUGUCUGGA